Molecule: ribosomal RNA, 478 nt
Filed under: uncultured bacterium
Lineage: Bacteria
Description: partial 16S ribosomal RNA
Rfam family: Bacterial small subunit ribosomal RNA
Source: RNAcentral
GACGAACGCUGGCGGCGUGCUUAACACAUGCAAGUCGAACGGUAAGGCCCUUCGGGGUACACGAGUGGCGAACGGGUGAGUAACACGUGGUUGAUCUGCCAUGCACUUCGGGAUAAGCCUGGGAAACUGGGUCUAAUACCGGAUAGGACCACUGCCUGCAUCGGUGGGGGUGGAAAGCUUUUGCGGUGUGGGAUGGGCCCGCGGCCUAUCAGCUUGUUGGUGGGGUGACGGCCUACCAGGGCGACGACGGGUAGCCGGCCUGAGAGGGUGACCGGCCACACUGGGACUGAGAUACGGCCCAGGCUCCUACGGGAGGCAGCAGUGGGGAAUAUUGCACAAUGGGCGCAAGCCUGAUGCAGCGACGACGCGUGAGGGAUGACGGCCUUCGGGUUGUAAACCUCUUUCAGCACCGACGAAGCGCAAGUGACGGUAGGUGCAGAAGAAGGACCGGCCAACUACGUGCCAGCCGCCGCAGUAA